AUAUCAGUAAGCGGAGGAAAAGAAACUAACAAGGAUUACCUCAGUAGCGGCGAGUGAAGAGGUAACAGCCCAAGAUGUAAAUCUGAACCGUAAGGGGAAGAAUUGUAAUCUAUAGGAAUUCUCGGAAGCGAUUAGUAAGUCAUAAGUCCCUUGGAAAAGGGUACCAUAGAGGGUGAUAGUCCCGUCUUCGGAUUUACUAAUGUGUACGAGGGUUUUCUAAGAGUCGGGUAGUUUGGGAAUGCUGCCCUAAUUAGGAGAUAAACUUCUUCUAAGGCUAAAUAUUUAUAGGAGACCGAUAGCGCACAAGUA
This 309-nucleotide ribosomal RNA is filed under the name uncultured eukaryote. Its description in RNAcentral is "partial large subunit ribosomal RNA". It matches the Rfam family "Eukaryotic large subunit ribosomal RNA", at positions 40 to 350 of the family's 3401-position model. The record is from RNAcentral.